UGGGGGAUAUUGCACAAUGGGGGAAACCCUGAUGCAGCGACGCCGCGUGGAGGAAGAAGGUUUUCGGAUUGUAAACUCCUGUCGUUAGGGACGAUAAUGACGGUACCUAACAAGAAAGCACCGGCUAACUACGUGCCAGCAGCCGCGGUAAAACGUAGGGUGCAAGCGUUGUCCGGAAUUACUGGGUGUAAAGGGAGCGCAGGCGGACCGGCAAGUUGGAAGUGAAAUCCAUGGGCUCAACCCGUGAAUUGCUUUCAAAACUGCUGGCCUUGAGUAAUGCAGAGGUAGGUGGAAUUCCCGGUGUAGCGGUGGAAUGCGUAGAUAUCGGGAGGAACACCAGUGGCGAAGGCGACCUACUGGGCACCAACUGACGCUGAGGCUCGAAAGCAUGGGUAGCAAACAGGAUUAGAUACCCUGGUAGUCCAUGCCGUAAACGAUGAUUACUAGGUGUUGGAGGAUUGACCCCUUCAGUGCCGCAGUUAACACAAUAAGUAAUCCACCUGGGGAGUACGACCGCAAGGUUGAAACUCAAAGGAAUUGACGGGGGCCCGCACAAGCAGUGGAGUAUGUGGUUUAAUUCGAAGCAACGCGAAGAACCUUACCAGGUCUUGACAUCCGAUGCAUAGUGCAGAGAUGCAUGAAGUCCUUCGGGACAUCGAGACAGGUGGUGCAUGGUUGUCGUCAGCUCGUGUCGUGAGAUGUUGGGUUAAGUCCCGCAACGAGCGCAACCCUUAUUGCCAGUUACUACGCAAGAGGACUCUGGCGAGACUGCCGUUGACAAAACGGAGGAAGGUGGGGAUGACGUCAAAUCAUCAUGCCCUUUAUGACCUGGGCUACACACGUACUACAAUGGCGUUUAACAAAGAGAAGCAAGACCGCGAGGUGGAGCAAAACUCAGAAACAACGUCUCAGUUCAGAUUGCAGGCUGCAACUCGCCUGCAUGAAGUCGGAAUUGCUAGUAAUCGCGGAUCAGCAUGCCGCGGUGAAUACGUUCCC
Molecule: ribosomal RNA, 996 nt
Filed under: uncultured organism
Description: bacterial SSU rRNA
Rfam family: Bacterial small subunit ribosomal RNA
Source: RNAcentral